GACUUUGAGGUUUGUGUGGAUGUGUUUUUCAUUGGGUUUGGUACCUUUUGCAUUAUGAUUCUCGGGAAGGUUUCAGUUAGUUUGUGGUUCCGAAGGAUAGUGAUUUAUCUUUUUCCCGCUUGGAUUCUUAGCGUUGGUUGGGUUAAUCUUGUGAGAGUGAAGGAUGGAAGUGAUAUGUUAUUCGUACUAUCUUAUAGCUGAUUGAUGCUGUGUUGUAUUCGUUUUACUUUAGUUGCUUUGAUGUGGUUGAGGGGUUUAUAGACUGUUUUGCUGUUAAAUUUGGUAGGUUUGGAGUACCUUUUGUAGUUUUUGUGUUAUUACAUUGGUUGAUUUGUUGAUUGUCUUGAACUUGGUCAGUGUCUGAGGUAAUUAUUGUGGUUGGUAAUCGGGGAAUUAGUAGUUGCUUAUUAUAAUACUUUUGUCUCGUUAUUUGCCCGUCUGUUUAUUAAAAACAUUUCCAUCAUUAAGGUUUGAUGGUAGUGCCUGCCCAGUGAUUUGUUGUUUAAAUGGCCGCAGUAUUUUGACUGUGUGAAGGUAGCAUAAUUAGUUGCCUCAUAAUUGGAGGAUUGUUUGAAUGGUUUGACGAGGUUUAUUGUGAAAUGUAUUAUGUGGUCGAAUAUUGGAUUGUUCGUGCAGAUCCGAAUGAUGUUUAGUAAGACGGAAAGACCCCGAGAGCUUUAUAUUUUGAUUGUUUGCUUGGGGCAAGAGUAUGUUUUUUAUGUAUUUUUUGAUCCUGAAUUAGUUUAUUGGAUUAAAGGUUUUAGUUACCUCGGGGAUAACUAGGUAAUGGGUGAUGAGAGUCCUUAUUGAGUCAUUCGAUUACUAUCUCGAUGUUGGCUUAGGGUGAAGGUAAUGGCGCAGUAGUCGUUGCUUUUGGUCUGUUCGACCUGUGUUCCCUUUAUGAGCUGAGUUGAGACCGGUGUAAGCCAGGUCGGUUCUUAUCUACUAUGGUUGCAGAUUAGUACGAAAGGAUUGUCUGUGUUUUAGGUU
This 990-nucleotide ribosomal RNA is filed under the name Lyperosomum longicauda. RNAcentral's name for it is "16S ribosomal RNA". The stretch from base 651 to 948 matches the Rfam family "Archaeal large subunit ribosomal RNA", at positions 2150 to 2716 of the family's 2987-position model. The record is from RNAcentral. Lineage: Eukaryota; Metazoa; Platyhelminthes; Trematoda; Plagiorchiida; Dicrocoeliidae.